RNAcentral lists this small nuclear RNA (161 nucleotides) under Nicotiana sylvestris (wood tobacco). RNAcentral describes it as "U1 spliceosomal RNA". It matches the Rfam family "U1 spliceosomal RNA". From Rfam's summary of the family: U1 is a small nuclear RNA (snRNA) component of the spliceosome (involved in pre-mRNA splicing). Lineage: Eukaryota; Viridiplantae; Streptophyta; Magnoliopsida; Solanales; Solanaceae. The record is from Rfam by way of RNAcentral. RNAcentral also lists the same sequence under 1 other name.
AUACUUACCUGGCCGGGGUCAAUGGGUGAUCAAUAAGACCCAUGGCCUAGGUUGGUGACUUUUAUUGCACUUUGGAGAGGUGCCCGCUUAUGGUCGAUCCAAGUGGUCGAGCCUACGUCAUAAUUUGUUACAGCGGAGGCCUGCGUUCGCGCGGCCCCUAC